CCUACGGGAGGCAGCAGUAAGGAAUAUUGGUCAAUGGAGGCAACUCUGAACCAGCCAUGCCGCGUGCAGGAAGACAGCCCUAUGGGUCGUAAACUGCUUUUAUACGGGAAUAAACUUUGAUUCGUGAAUCAAGCUGAAUGUACCGUAAGAAUAAGGAUCGGCUAACUCCGUGCCAGCAGCCGCGGUAAUACGGAGGAUCCAAGCGUUAUCCGGAUUUAUUGGGUUUAAAGGGAGCGUAGGCGGCCUAUUAAGUCAGGGGUGAAAGACGGUGGCUCAACCAUCGCAGUGCCUUUGAUACUGAUGGGCUUGAAUAUAGUUGAGGUAGGCGGAAUGUGACAAGUAGCGGUGAAAUGCAUAGAUAUGUCACAGAACACCGAUUGCGAAGACAGCUUACUAAGCUAUGAUUGACGCUGAGGCUCGAAAGCGUGGGGAUCAAACAGGAUUAGAUACCCUGGUAGUCCACGCCUAAACGA
RNAcentral lists this ribosomal RNA (473 nucleotides) under uncultured bacterium. RNAcentral's name for it is "bacterial SSU rRNA". It matches the Rfam family "Bacterial small subunit ribosomal RNA", at positions 338 to 809 of the family's 1533-position model. The record is from RNAcentral.